Non-coding RNA from Castor canadensis (American beaver), 438 nucleotides. The record is from RefSeq and is a predicted model, not a curated record. NCBI's taxonomy places the organism in Eukaryota, Metazoa, Chordata, Mammalia, Rodentia, Castoridae.
AUUCAUUUGUUUAAGAAGCAUUCAUUGAACCUUUACUGUCUACCAGGCACUACUCUGUGUGCUGUGUAACUGGUAGCCAGGCACACUGCAUCAACACAGAGUAGCAGGAACCCAGGGGAGAUAAGGCUCGCAGGAAGACACUAGAAUCCUAAGAGAGGCCCCGAGGAUCCUAAGCUACACACUUGGAUUCAUCAUGGUACUGGGGCUUGAUUCCCCAGCUUUCCAAGAGGAUGUUUAAAAUGAAAUGCUCCAGAAGUGUCACUUAGAAGCUGACCAGUGGAAUUCCAAUCCUGACAGUGAUGGUUUCCCAGGGAUGGCCAGGGACCGUCACUUUCUUCUUCUUAUUGCUGCUGUUGCCUUUGACCCCUUCUUCCUCCCUGCGUUUUCCCUACCUCCAUUUGCUCAGUAAAAAGUUUAUGUCAAAACACCAUGGAAGUC